GAAUAUUGGGCAAUGGGCGCAAGCCUGAUCCAGCCAUACCGCGUGGGUGAAGAAGGCCUUCGGGUUGUAAAGCCCUUUUGUGGGGAAAGAAAAGCAGUCGGCUAAUACCCGGUUGUUCUGACGGUACCCAAAGAAUAAGGAACGGCUAACUUAGUGACAGCAGCCACGGUUGUACGAAGGGUGCAAGCGUUACUCGGAAUUACUGGGCGUAAAGCGUGCGUAGGUGGUUGUGUAAGUCUGUUGUGAGAGCCCUGGGCUCAACCUGGGAAUUGCAGUGGAUACUGGGCGACUAGAGUGUGGUAGAGGGUAGUGGAAUUCCCGGUGUAGCAGUGAAAUGCGUAGAGAUCGGGAGGAACAUCCAUGGCGAAGGCAGCUACCUGGACCAACACCGACACUGAGGCACGAAAGCGUGGGGAGCAAACAGG
Molecule: ribosomal RNA, 425 nt
Filed under: uncultured bacterium
Lineage: Bacteria
Description: partial 16S ribosomal RNA
Rfam family: Bacterial small subunit ribosomal RNA
Source: RNAcentral